This is a long non-coding RNA of Argentina anserina (silverweed cinquefoil), 1563 nucleotides long. RefSeq lists it as uncharacterized. The record is from RefSeq and is a predicted model, not a curated record. The transcript is spliced from 5 exons. Lineage: Eukaryota; Viridiplantae; Streptophyta; Magnoliopsida; Rosales; Rosaceae.
AUGUCGAGAACCUCACGUCCAGCCACCAACUCGGCUCGCCACUACCACCACCACCUCCGAAUUCCCUAUCCAAAAUCGAGCCUAAAUCUAUAAGUAUCGGAAACGCACAUCACCUCUGAACCUCUCUACUUUCACUAGCCAUAGCUCCUCAAAUUCUGGCAGUUCCUUGACAUACCACCGCCGGUGCCCUGCCUCAAAGAUUAAGAGGAUUGGAAACUAGAAGCUUGGGUAUCCACCGAGGCUAAGAAUUCGCACCAACAUCACCGAUGGAGCUCUAAGCUUCAUGAUCUUUGAUUUCCAACUUCCGGCGACGUUCUGGCCUUCCCAUCACCAAAAUCAGGGUCGGUACCUCUCGUAUAGAAGAACCCCUAAUCGUAUCUCUAGAUUUGACUAGCUCCACAGUCGUUGCCGCCGCACCUCCGCCGCUAGCUCCACCACCCACGGUGGCUAGGUUUUAUAGAACUUCUUUGUAUCAGAGGUUGAAGGAAAUCCCUGUUUGGAGUACUUGAAGCAUCAACUUUUCUAGACCGGUCGGAAAUAAGAAACAGUGCACUAUAGUGGGAGGCAUAGUCAUUGGAGAUUGCUGCAAGGGGAGGCACUGGCCAAACAUUGGAGCUGUUAUCAGAGCCACAUGCAGAGAAAACAAAGGAGGAUGAGAUAAUGGUGGUGGUGGAGCAAGGGAGGUUCGUCGGGUGUUAGGGCCAGUAUUAUGCUGCUUGUCAUUGUCCGGAUGUUCAUGCACAAUGUCUUUGAGUAACAGAAAUAUAAAGAGAAAGAGACAAAGUGUCUAAAUUGAGCAGUAGUGAUCCAAGAGAUAAGAGCAAAGCAGGAAACGAAAGGUGAGUCUGGCGAUGUAUUGAUGGUGGAAGGUUAUCAAACGGUGGAUUAAUGCAAUAAAACCCAUGGACAGUUCUGUGGAGACUGUUUGUAUAUGAGAUAUGGGGAGCAUGUAUUUGAGGCCAUUCAGAAGCAAGCAGGAAGCAUAAGCAUUAACACAAAACUUAAGCCAUACUAUGGCUGAGAGUGGCAUUGCUGAUCAGAUAUGACUAACGUAGUUGACAUUAGAUGUAAGACUUUGAUGUUAUAUAAGGUAGUUCGCAAUAUCAUACUUGUUUAUAUUGAAACAAGGAAUUUCUUGUUGUUAAGAAUAAUUAACUCAGGUGGAAAUCAUGUGAUUUUUGAGGUUAGUAUUUUAUAAGGGUUUAGAUGCACCUGUAACUUCACUGAUUUGUGUUUUACUUUUUAUAAGCAUCACAUGAUUUUUUUUGUUUAUUGAAGGUUUUUGUUUUAAUGCAACAGAUGUUGAUAUGCUUGAGAAUGUGGGGUAUUUGGGGAGCAGAACCAGCGCGAUGAUGCCUAUUUUGCAUAAUAUCGGAACUGUAGUAGCUCAAUAACGACAUGCAUGCCUAUUUUUCUGUGUUGUUUACGAGGUUGCCUACAUUGUAGGGUUAGUUAUCUUUUAUUUUAUUGAUUAGCUUGCAAUUUGCCUGCAUAUAUUUGAACCAUUUGCAUAAAUGUAACGAUGUAGAUCAUUUUUUGGUUUAUGAAUGAGCAAAUGUUUUC